GUGGGGAAUUUUGGACAAUGGGCGCAAGCCUGAUCCAGCCAUGCCGCGUGCAGGAUGAAGGCCUUCGGGUUGUAAACUGCUUUUGUACGGAACGAAAAAGCUCUCUCUAAUACAGGGGGUGAAUGACGGUACCGUAAGAAUAAGCACCGGCUAACUACGUGCCAGCAGCCGCGGUAAUACGUAGGGUGCAAGCGUUAAUCGGAAUUACUGGGCGUAAAGCGUGCGCAGGCGGUUAUGUAAGACAGAGGUGAAAUCCCCGGGCUCAACCUGGGAACUGCCUUUGUGACUGCAUAGCUGGAGUGCGGCAGAGGGGGAUGGAAUUCCGCGUGUAGCAGUGAAAUGCGUAGAUAUGCGGAGGAACACCGAUGGCGAAGGCAAUCCCCUGGGCCUGCACUGACGCUCAUGCACGAAAGCGUGGGGAGCAAACAGGAUUAGAUACCCUGGUAGUCC
Molecule: ribosomal RNA, 450 nt
Filed under: uncultured bacterium
Lineage: Bacteria
Description: bacterial SSU rRNA
Rfam family: Bacterial small subunit ribosomal RNA
Source: RNAcentral